Molecule: ribosomal RNA, 901 nt
Filed under: Magnetococcales bacterium
Lineage: Bacteria; Pseudomonadati; Pseudomonadota; Magnetococcia; Magnetococcales
Description: bacterial SSU rRNA
Rfam family: Bacterial small subunit ribosomal RNA
Source: RNAcentral
UCAAGUUGAGAGUUUGAUCCUGGCUCAGAACGAACGCUGGCGGCAUGCCUAACACAUGCAAGUCGAACGAGAAGCUAACUUCGGUUAGUGGAGAGUGGCGCACGGGUGAGUAAUACAUGGAAAUCUACCUUGCACUGGGGGAUAACAGUUAGAAAUGACUGCUAAUACCGCAUACGCCAUAUUGGGAAACCUACGGGGGUGUAAGAUGAGUCCAUGCCUGAUUAGCUAGUUGGUAGGGUAAAGGCCUACCAAGGCGACGAUCAGUAGCGGGUUUGAGAGGAUGAUCCGCCACACUGGUACUGAGACACGGACCAGACUCCUACGGGAGGCAGCAGUGGGGAAUAUUGCGCAAUGGGCGAAAGCCUGACGCAGCAAUGCCGCGUGAAUGAUGAAGGUUCUAGGAUUGUAAAGUUCUUUUAGCAGGGAAGAUAGUGACGGUACCUGCAGAAAAAGUCCCGGCUAACUCCGUGCCAGCAGCCGCGGUAAUACGGAGGGGGCGAGCGUUGUUCGGAUUUACUGGGCGUAAAGGGUCCGUAGGUGGUUUGGAAAGUUAGAUGUGAAAGCCCGGAGCUCAACUCCGGAAUUGCAUUUAAAACUCCCAAACUAGAAUCAUAGAGAGGAUAGUGGAAUUUCCAGUGUAGAGGUGAAAUUCGUAGAUAUUGGAAGGAACACCAGAGGCGAAGGCGACUAUCUGGCUAUGUAUUGACACUGAGGGACGAAAGCGUGGGGAGCAAACAGGAUUAGAUACCCUGGUAGUCCACGCCGUAAACGAUGAGUGCUAGCUGACGGGACCAACGGUCUCGGUGGCGCAGUUAACGCAUUAAGCACUCCGCCUGGGGAGUACGGUCGCAAGAUUAAAACUCAAAGGAAUUGACGGGGGCCCGCACAAGCGGUGGAGCAU